This 482-nucleotide ribosomal RNA is filed under the name uncultured bacterium. RNAcentral's name for it is "bacterial SSU rRNA". It matches the Rfam family "Bacterial small subunit ribosomal RNA", at positions 26 to 518 of the family's 1533-position model. The record is from RNAcentral.
AGGACGAACGCUGGCGGUAUGCUUAAGACAUGCAAGUCGAACGAGCGAUGCUUGUAGCAAUACAGAGCAAAGCGAGUGGCGGACGGGUGAGUAACGCGUGAGCAACCUGCCUCUUUCAUCGGGAUACCAAUUGGAAACGAUUGCUAAUACCGAAUAUGACCACAGCACGGCAUCGUGCAGGGGUGAAAGGGUUUACUGGAAAGAGAUGGGCUCGCGUCUGAUUAGCUUGUUGGUGGGUAACGGCCUACCAAGGCGAUGAUCAGUAGCCGACCUGAGAGGGUGAUCGGCCACAUUGGGACUGAGAACGGCCCAGACUCCUACGGGAGGCAGCAGUCGGGAAUAUUGGGCAAUGGAGGAAACUCUGACCCAGCAAUACCGCGUGAAGGAUGAAGGUCUUCGGAUUGUAAACUUCUGUUAUAAAGGAAGAAUAAAAUGACGGUACUUUAUAAGUAAGCCCCGGCAAACUAUGUGCCAGCCGCAGC